CAAAGCUGAUAACAGACGUCUUACAAUGAUUGCAUUCUUAAUAUAUUUUCUUUGUUUUAAGGUCACUCUGGUCACCACAGAAGAGAAGAGGCUACUGCUGAAUGAUCCGGAUGUACUGGUUAAUCGGUUGAAUCGACUAGAAAGUGUCGUGGCGGUACUCAAUAGCACAGUACAACAACAGUCAAUAACAAUUCAGAAACAGGAAAAGACUAUUAAACAGUUACAAGAUUAUGUUAGUACUGCUCAAGGUAAGACUAUUAUGUUGUUUAACAAAUAAUAAAAGUCCGCUUUAUUUGACAACUAGAUUAUUAAAAAAAAUUCCAACUCUAACAGACAAAAAGAUAUGGUUUUUUUCUUCUCUUUUAAUGAUUUCAAGAUACCGUCGUUAGCUAAUAAUUCGAGAUUUAAAAGUGAAGGAUAUUGAAUAUUUCAAAAUUUAGUCCUGGUAUCUAUGAUGAGUUAAUUUACUACCACUGGGUCGAUGCCACUGCUGGUCGAGAUUUAUUUCCACGAGGGUAUCACCAGCCCAGUUGUCAGCACUUUUGUGCUAACAUGAAUUAUCAUUGCUAUGGUUAUAUUUAUGAAUUUACAGCUCACAAAAUUUUGAAUUUUUGAAAUACCAAGGCUUUGCUACCUCAGGCAUAUAUUACCUUAGCUGUAUUUGGCAAAACUUUUAGGAAUUUUGGUCGUCAAUGCUCUUCAACUUCGUACUUUAUUCAACUGUUUUGGAUUCGAGCGUCACUGAUGAGUCUUUUGUAGACGAAACGCGCGUCUGGUGUAUAUUCAAAAUUUAGUCCUGGUAUCUAUGAUGAGUUAAUUUGUAUCAAUUAUUGUAUAAGGAAUAUUGUUCAUACAUUGUUGAUUUGAAAAGGUGCCCUUAUGUCUUCAUCUGUUGCUCCAUGAAAACAUGCUUAAAUUUUAACCCGUGUAUUACGAUAUUAAUCAAGUUAAAAUAAAAAAAUUACACUGCAGAACUAUUUAGAUAUAAUGAUAUUAUACACUAUUUCUCCAUUUUAUCUUUUGAACAUCAGGCCUUUGUAUUGUGAUGCCAUGCAUAUUACCACAGAAUUGGCAUUUAACGUUUCUCUUCAGUCGAUAUAAUUGGGAUUUAAACCAUACACGUGUUAUAUUAAAACUUUGUCUUUGGUAAUUCAUAAUUUCACUAUAAAAAGGAGUUGUUUGGAUUUUUGUUUAUUCAGCGAAUUUGUGUAUUUUACACUAAACUCAUUUUGAAUUGCAGAAUUCCAUAAUUGUUAAUGUGCUUACAAUGUCGGGAUUAAAAAUAUAUUCCAGGCAUUGGAACAACGUAUAUUAGAUGGGGAAGAAAGCAAUGUCCAAUUAAUAGCACAGAAUUAGUCUACUCAGGU
This 1367-nucleotide long non-coding RNA is filed under the name Mytilus galloprovincialis (Mediterranean mussel). Lineage: Eukaryota; Metazoa; Mollusca; Bivalvia; Mytilida; Mytilidae. The record is from RNAcentral.